This 595-nucleotide ribosomal RNA is filed under the name uncultured Bacteroidota bacterium. RNAcentral's name for it is "bacterial SSU rRNA". It matches the Rfam family "Bacterial small subunit ribosomal RNA", at positions 122 to 715 of the family's 1533-position model. The record is from RNAcentral. Lineage: Bacteria; Pseudomonadati; Bacteroidota.
CAACCUACCUAUCAGAGGGGAAUAACCCGGCGAAAGUCGGACUAAUACCGCAUAAAACAGGGGCACCGCAUGGUGAUAUUUGUUAAAGAAAUUCGCUGAUAGAUGGGCAUGCGUUCCAUUAGGUAGUUGGUGAGGUAACGGCUCACCAAGCCGACGAUGGAUAGGGGAACUGGGAGGUUGGUCCCCCACACUGGUACUGAGACACGGACCAGACUCCUACGGGAGGCAGCAGUGAGGAAUAUUGGUCAAUGGGCGGGAGCCUGAACCAGCCAAGUCGCGUGAAGGAAGAAGGAUCUAUGGUUCGUAAACUUCUUUUGCAGGGGAAUAAAGUGCAGGACGUGUCCUGUUUUGUAUGUACCCUGAGAAUAAGGAUCGGCUAACUCCGUGCCAGCAGCCGCGGUAAUACGGAGGAUCCGAGCGUUAUCCGGAUUUAUUGGGUUUAAAGGGUGCGUAGGUGGUUUGAUAAGUCAGCGGUGAAAGUUUGCAGCUUAACUGUAAAAAUGCCGUUGAAACUGUCGGACUUGAGUGUAAAUGAGGUAGGCGGAAUGCGUGGUGUAGCGGUGAAAUGCAUAGAUAUCACGAAGAACUCCGAUUG